CAGGAGCAAGGGGGAAACCCUUCUCCUUCAACUACUUACAAGAACUCAAGAAUUGAACCUGAUUUUGGGGAGAAAUCGGAUGCAUGAGCUUAUAUUCCUAAUCAUCUAGACAAGAUGAACAUGUGAAUUGGAAUCACACGAGCAUGGGCCAAGCAUGGAAGGUUAACGGGUCAAGAUGAGGCAAGGAAGCGGUUACGAACACGGAUGCACAAGUGUAACGCAGGUACAACGAGGAAGUCUCACCACGGAAUGUAUAAUCAGAUAGAAAGCUGGGAUGUGACGAGAUAAUGAAAUGAAUAGUCAGUUGGUAUGUAAUGCAGGAAUGAGUACAUUGAAUUCCAAUGAAAAUUCAAGCCGAAUCCGGAACAAGGGAAUGCGAAGGCAUAGUUGAAUGAACUAAUGU
Helianthus annuus (common sunflower) is the source of this 403-nucleotide long non-coding RNA. RefSeq lists it as uncharacterized. The record is from RefSeq and is a predicted model, not a curated record. The transcript has 4 exons. NCBI's taxonomy places the organism in Eukaryota, Viridiplantae, Streptophyta, Magnoliopsida, Asterales, Asteraceae.